GACGAACGCUAGCGGCGUGCUUAACACAUGCAAGUCGAACGGAAAGGCCCUGCUUUUGUGGGGUGCUCGAGUGGCGAACGGGUGAGUAACACGUGAGUAACCUGCCCUUGACUUUGGGAUAACUUCAGGAAACUGGGGCUAAUACCGGAUAGGAGCUCCUGCUGCAUGGUGGGGGUUGGAACGUUUCGGCGGUUGGGGAUGGACUCGCGGCUUAUCAGCUUGUUGGUGGGGUAGUGGCUUACCAAGGCUUUGACGGGUAGCCGGCCUGAGAGGGUGACCGGCCACAUUGGGACUGAGAUACGGCCCAGACUCCUACGGGAGGCAGCAGUGGGGAAUAUUGCACAAUGGGCGGAAGCCUGAUGCAGCAACGCCGCGUGCGGGAUGACGGCCUUCGGGUUGUAAACCGCUUUCGCCUGUGACGAAGCGUGUGUGACGGUAAUGGGUAAAGAAGCACCGGCUAACUACGUG
Molecule: ribosomal RNA, 468 nt
Filed under: uncultured bacterium
Lineage: Bacteria
Description: partial 16S ribosomal RNA
Rfam family: Bacterial small subunit ribosomal RNA
Source: RNAcentral